CUCCACCAUGUGCUCCACCUCGUGCUGGACCUUAAGAGAUACCAAUUAUGUGGCUGACACUGUGUCCUAGAGGCUGGAAUGGGAACACAUAGGGCGAGAUUGAUUGUUAAUUGCUAGCAUGAACCGCGUGGGCUUCUCAGGGUCUAGAGUGGAGAGAAAUCGGUAAGAAUUGGUGGCACGCCUGUCAGAACUCCCCAAACCAAGCUAAGCAGAAAUUAACCAAUCAGUAGAGCAGCCUUCGGAGUAAGGGCUAAAAUGAUGUCCUCAGGGCCUGGUUUUGCUUUUCUUCCAUGUCAGUUUGCUUCUUUGGGUCUGGCUGCAUUCCCAGACAGGCCAUGCUGUCGUGGUAGCAAGGUGACACGACACAGGGUCAGGUCCAGCAGGAAAGAAUGCUCUCCUGUGUCCCCACUUCCUCCAGAAGCCACACUCACCCAUCCCACCUGGCUUGGUCCUCAUGUCUAUCCCAGAAUCCAUUAAUGGGGCCAGGGGACUA
RNAcentral lists this long non-coding RNA (493 nucleotides) under Homo sapiens (human). RNAcentral describes it as "HSALNT0183952". Lineage: Eukaryota; Metazoa; Chordata; Mammalia; Primates; Hominidae. The record is from RNAcentral.